Long non-coding RNA from Ictidomys tridecemlineatus (thirteen-lined ground squirrel), 1837 nucleotides. The record is from Ensembl. Lineage: Eukaryota; Metazoa; Chordata; Mammalia; Rodentia; Sciuridae.
AGGUUCCAGAGCUUAGGACAGGGACUUUGUGUGUGGGUGGAGGGGGCAUUCUAGUCGGACCAUCAAAAACUUGUUCUUCCUGACGCUGGAGGAAAGUGAGCUGGAGGGUGCUGCUUUGGUUUGAUGGUUAGGGACACCUGCUGUGAGAUGAGCCCUAAGCAGAGACGGGGGAGUCCUGGAGGAGCCCAAGGGCAGUUGCUGGAGGAGCAGUCCAGGAAAAAGAAAUGUGAACCCCAGGGGCCCAGGAGUAAUGUCACCAAUACUGCAAGAGGCCGGACCUCCUGUAGUCCCUGUGUCCACUUCAUAGGAAACAGCAGGCAAGUGACUUACUCCUCCUAACAUGUUUAUCACCUCAUGCGCUUCUCAUGGCUGUCCUUGGGGAGGCAGGUCCUGUAGCCACCCCAUCUCACACAGGAGCACACCGGGCCUCAGAGACCAGGUGAUGUGCAGGAGUCACUGAGGGAACCAGGAGGUGGAAGGCCCCAGGAGAGAGGUGGGUGUAGCACUGGCUUCUCUCACUUAAGACAUCUAAAGCGUUGCCAGGGAGAAGGAGGAAUCAAUUUGUUGUGUGUGAACCUGCACAAAAGGGUUCUGAGGCCAGAGAAGGUUUUGGUUCAGGACAUGGAGAGGACAAGGCUUUGGGUCAGUCACAGACCUUGAAAAGGGUUAAGUAGAGAGAAGCAGCCGGUGGCCGUACUGCGAAGCACCUUCCGGCUGGCUAAACGCCUCCUGUAAGCAGGAGCCCUGGUGCUGACCCUGAGAAAGCCCUUGAACACAUCUGCUUUGCAUCAGAGUCAGCCCGGUGAACAUUAUAAUUGUGUAUAAUUGUUAUAACUGAGCCUGAAACUGUUGUGACUUAUGGAAAAAACUUUAAAAGUGUUAUUAUUAUUAUUUUGGCAUGACUUUAACAGACACUAAACAUGGGGAGAUAGAAUUCGGCACUCGCUGUUUUCUCAUAACUCACCAACAGUUGUUCACUACUUUGGCUUUUAUUUAUGUCUAUUUUUUGUACUUUUAUUUAUGUAUAUUUAUAAUGCCAUAGGCCAGGGCACUUAACUACUGAGCCACAUUCAGAGUCCUUUUUAUUUUUUAUUUUGAGACAGGGUCUUUCUAAGUUUCCAAGGGCCUCUGUUAUGGUUUGGGUGUGAGGUGGUCCCCCAAAAGCUCUCAUGUGAGACAAUGCAAGAAGGUUCAGAGGAGAAAUGAAGGGGUUGUGAGAGUCUUAACCAAUCAGUGAGUUAAUCCCCUGAUAGAGAUCAACUGAGUGGUAACUGGAGGGUGGUGGGGUGUGGCUGGAGGCGGCGGGCACUGGGGCAUGGUUAUGGGGUAUUUGUUUGUAUCUGGUGAGUGGAGACCCCUUUCUCUGCUUCCUGAUCAUCAUGUGAGCUGCUUCCCUCUACCACACUCUUCCACCAUGAUGUCCUGCCUCACCUUGAGUCCCGAGGAAUGGAGCCUGUUGUCUGUGGAUGGAGACCUAUGACACUCUGAGCCCUUAAUUAAACCUUUCCUCCUCUAUAGUGGUUCUGGGUGAGUUGUUUUAGUCCUAGAGAAAAAGCUGACUAAAACAGCCCCCCAAGUUGCCUGUGCCACUGUGUCCAGCUUGUUCACAAUGUUGGAAGAACUGCUCACAGACAGCAAAGCCACUCCUGGAAUCUGAUGGCCAGUACUACAUCAGCGCCAUUCUGCAUUUGUCCCCGUUACAAAGAAGAUGGUUCUAUCCUGAACAUAGGCACAGCAGCAGCUGACCAUGCUUCGUGUCAUCUGACUCAGGCAAGCCAGAGUUACCAAACUCAUUCCCAGUUGAAGUAAUAAAUUAAUUUCCCUUUAUUUCUUCAUU